Molecule: long non-coding RNA, 3770 nt
Organism: Marmota monax (woodchuck)
Lineage: Eukaryota; Metazoa; Chordata; Mammalia; Rodentia; Sciuridae
Exons: 10
Source: RefSeq, a predicted model, not a curated record
UCUUCCCGUGUGAGCGAGUCAUAUCACGCAGCGCCCGUGCCAGGUCAGCAGUCUGGAUGGAGCUCGGACGCGGCUGGCUGCGCCAGGCAGUGCCAAGCGCCCCACAGCCCUGUGAGGAUUCCCACGUCCAGAUUCCAUUCUGCAGUCUGGACGAUGCUUUGAAGGCUGCCUCGCUGGGAACCUGCACGCUACUCCGCUGCUUCCCAAACAAGCCAUGCUGAAAGCACAGGACCCUCCUGGCUGAGCCGGCCGGCGCCGUGACAACGGGAGCCCUGCUCAGUCCCCAGGUCUGUGCUUCCCUGUGCCUGACACGUGGGCCCCAGGCCUCAACUUCCUCACUCCCUAAGGGAGCAGCGACUUGAGCUGUCUUGGGCGGCCGAGGAGAAGGUGCCGGUGGCUCGCUGGGGAGGCCCGGCACCCAGCAGACUCGGAGUGCACUUCGGCUUCCAGAAGGUGCCCCUUGAGGAGCUGCAUUCUUUGAUUCUAGUUGAAAAGCAGAGUCCCGGACUUGACCAAGCACGACAAAGGCCCAGUGAUACCAUCUCUCAGUCCACUCAGUGGAGUUAGCUGAAAAACACUGUAUUUAAUUAGCAUCUACUCUCCAACCUUGUAAAUGUGAGCGGAGAGCUACGCCUGACAGCUGACCUGACAGGCCCAGGACGGGAACAUCCCAGGCAACACAGAAGGCAGGGACUGUCUUAAAAAUGUGAAUGAUCCUAUUGCCUCCAAGGAGCCUGGCGGACUCUUUGUGUGCUUCUCUGAAGGCGAGACUGCAUCAUGAGAUUACUCCCAAUUACUCAGCACAGAGGCGAAGACAAUUGGGGCUCUGUAAACACGAGGCCAGGUUGACUGUAAAUGGAGUUUCUUCCAGUUGCUUCCUUGGUGUGUGCAGAUGUGCUGGUGAUGAACGUGCGGAGAGCCUGGAGAAGUCUGGGCGUGCUCCCCAAGCACAGGGCCCUCUGUUGCUGGUCUGCAGGGCCAGGUCCAGUUCUUGCCUACUUGUUUUAUGUGUCUGUUGACUUUCUUCUGUGGAUUUCCGGAUACAGCAGUGCACGAGUGCUUGCAGAAAUGAGCUUCUCCAAAUCAUUCUCAAGAAGCUCAACAUCUUUGUUAAAUGGUCAACUUUUAAAGUCAUCUUAUUAGCAAUAAUCAAUACACAGGUCCCACAAGAAACCACAGAUAUAAUUUUAAAAUUUAUAGUUCUUUAUAAAGACCCUUUAUGGACCUAAGAACUGUGAUUAAACUACCUUAUUUAAUCUUCCAAAUAAUCCUAUGGAUUAGGCAUUCUUCUCACCCAUAUUUUGCUUAUAAACUCGAAAAAAAGUUUGGCAACUUGCCAGUCAAUGGUGAAGCUGGGAUCAAACCCUGUUUGCACGUCUGUCAGCCCUGAGUCUUGGUAGAUAUGCUGUAUGUGGGCCUAUGGACCAGGAAGGGCAUUGGGAGCCCUUGCUAUCCAACUUCUUCAUCUGGACAGAUGGACUUAUGGUGGCGCACACAGCUCACUGAGGCCAUGCCAAGCUUAGAAACCAGAUUUCCUGCUGCCCAAUACAAUGCUCUAACCACAGUGCACUACCAAAGGAAGGCUCUGUGAGGCAGUUCUGUCCGUUUCUAUCUAUUCUUAAUAAAAAGGGGUUUUCCUGUGGAAUUUGCAACACUUGAGGGUUUGGGUGCAGGGCACCCGUUGAAGAGGCCUUCCGCUGCACGGCCUCUGUGGACCUUGGUGGCUUCCCAUCAGAAGGCUGCAGCUGUGGUGACUGCAGGCUGCCGCCAGGUUCCCGAGAGCCUGUUCUUCACAUCUUGCUUCCUGAGCACUGGCAAAGGAUAUCUGAUGCCGGUUCCAGACUGUCAGAUGAGCUGGGAGAGGUGCAGGGUUCUGUUCUGAAGGUGGCCUCUUCUGGACAAGUCCCUGGGGAUCUCAGGAGGACAGAUCCUGAAUUGUCUGUGAGCAGCUGCUUAGUAGGUUUUCAGUCCUACGGAGCACAUUCAUUCUUUCCCCCUCUACUGAGAAGGGAAAGGAUCCUCAGCUUACAGGAAACAGAGACUAGCAAAAUUAGUCGGCAGUGACAAAGGACUGGCAGAAAAUGCAGAAGUUCCAAACAGAGACCUAUUCUAUGGAAAAGGCCCAGAGAAAUUUCGCCUCACCAGGACGGUGCCGUGACUUCCUGACUUCAUCCUCCUGCAGGACGAUGAGAAACAGCUGGUCUGGAAACCCACAGAGUCUCACUGGAGUUUCAGGAUGAAACAUUUCUCGAGUGCAGCUACUCUUAAAAGGUUCAGAGAAGCCAUAUAGGUCUCAACGCACGUAGGUGGGUUCUGCCCCUGCCUCUCUGGCCCUGGAUGCCUGGCCUUACACAAGCUACUUCUGAAUUUGCUCCACCUUUGCUGGCCCUGAAUCAAGAGGAGUCUGCAGGGAUAGUGUGGAGCAGUGGGGGAAGAAUCCUUGCACAACAUGAACGAGGAGAGGUCUCUUCUCUUCCCUGCUCCAAAACCCUUUGCCGUCUGCAGAGAAGCUGUUCCAAUAAGCUGUGGACGCCCACACCCAUGAUUCUGUGUCUGCUGUCUGCUCUGGCAGGAUCUUCCCUGUCUUUCCAGUUUGUCCUAUACUUAUCAAGUGAUAGUCUAGUGGCCGCUCCUUGUUGUCUUCUCAGAGGAUCGGAUCCCAGCUCACUUGGAGCUGACUACACACACCCUCCUGUGUUCCAGUGGCAACCGCUGAGGCCCCUCCUGGAGUGUGCCCCAAGCCACAGGAGGGGUGCCAUCAGGCUCUGCUUCUGGCCAAAUCAACAGUGACUCAGUUCCACUGUCAGGGAGCUGGUCUUGUACACUUGUUGGGUUGAAGGUCACUGAGUCACAGAGAAAUAACCAAGUCUAUGUAGAACAGGUGGGGCUCCCUCAUGCACUAUAAAAUACUUCUUUGUAUAUCCUCCAUUGCUGACACCAGAGCUUAUGGAUCCUGCGAGGACCCUGGGACGCAGCUCAGGCCAAUCCAUGGAGAUCAGAGAUCACACGGGACGGAGCCCUCCUGGUUCCCUGCAGCCAAGCAGCCCACAAGCACUAACCACAUGGACAGUGCCAGGCGGGUCCCUCCAGCCCAGCCUACCGUGCUGCUGCUGCUGCAGAGUGGAGAUGAGAAGGACGGCCACCGAGGACACCAGCGGGAGGAGGAGGAGGCUUGUGUCCCAGCACCCGAGCUUGGCCGUGAUGUGUAGUCAGCAAACACUAGCCAGUAGAGAGAUGACCACUUACGAGCAGGAGACAUGGAGACAUUGAAGUUCCCAUGGAUUCAUUCUGUGAUGAACAAAUUCCUGUUUCUUUAAAUUUGUACCAAAAUAUUGAUUAUAAGCAGAUUUUAAUAAAAUUUAAAAUGAUCCACUGUUUCAUUUUUUCCAGUGGAUUAUAUGUAGUAGUAAAGUCUAUUUCCACAAUGAAGUAGUAGUCUAGGGUUAUUUCCAUAUUACCAAAAGAACAAUAACCAGUAGUGCUACUUAGUAAAUAACAAUAUCACGUGUGUCUGUCAGGGUACACAAUGUAUAGAAUACUCUGACCUACGCUAUUCCAUUUGGCCUAUCUUCAUAGCACACCAGUGGCAUAGGUAGAGCAGGUAUUGUCUGUUGGGUACAUAAGUGAAAUAUUUAAAAAAAUAGGCCAUCUUUUAAAAUCCUAGUGCAUUUUUAUGACUCAAUGGAAAAGCCUGUUGCCUGGGAUCAGAAUUCAGUGAUCCAGCCUCUAGAUCUGAUGCUGACAUGCUUCAUCCCACAUUCUGCACUCUU